UGCAGUCGCACGAGAACGCUUCAGCUUGCUGAAGUUAGUAAAGUGGCGCACGGGUGAGUAACGCGUGGGUAAUCUUCCCCCGAAUCGGGGAUAACAUUGCGAAAGCGAUGCUAAUACCGGAUAACAUCUCAAAUACCCCGGUGUUUGAGAUCAAAGGUGGCCUCUACAUGUAAGCUACUGUUUGGGGAUGAGCCCGCGUACCAUUAGCUUGUUGGUAGGGUAACGGCCUACCAAGGCUGCGAUGGUUAGCUGGUCUGAGAGGAUGAUCAGCCACACUGGAACUGACACACGGUCCAGACUCCUACGGGAGGCAGCAGUGAGGAAUUUUGCGCAAUGGGGGAAACCCUGACGCAGCAACGCCGCGUGAGUGAUGAAGGCUUUCGGGUCGUAAAGCUCUGUCAAGUGGGAAGAACCCACAUGGUACUAAUAUCACCAUGUGCUGACGGUACCACUGAAGGAAGCACCGGCUAACUCCGUG
Molecule: ribosomal RNA, 478 nt
Filed under: uncultured bacterium
Lineage: Bacteria
Description: bacterial SSU rRNA
Rfam family: Bacterial small subunit ribosomal RNA
Source: RNAcentral